AACGAACGCUGGCGGCAGGCCUAACACAUGCAAGUCGAGCGAGGACUUCGGUCCUAGCGGCGGACGGGUGAGUAACGCGUGGGAACGUGCCCUUUGCUUCGGAAUAGCCCUGGGAAACUGGGAGUAAUACCGGAUGAGCCCUUUGGGGGAAAGAUUUAUCGGCGAAGGAUCGGCCCGCGUUGGAUUAGGUAGUUGGUGGGGUAAUGGCCUACCAAGCCGACGAUCCAUAGCUGGUUUGAGAGGAUGAUCAGCCACACUGGGACUGAGACACGGCCCAGACUCCUACGGAAGGCAGCAGUGUGGAAUCUUAGGCAAUGGGGGAAGACCUGAUCUAGCCAUGCCGCGUGAGCGAUGAAGGCCUUAGGGUUGUAAAGCUCUUUCAGCUGGGAAGAUAAUGACGGUACCAGCAGAAGAAGCCCCGGCUAACUCCGUG
This 433-nucleotide ribosomal RNA is filed under the name uncultured bacterium. RNAcentral's name for it is "partial 16S ribosomal RNA". It matches the Rfam family "Bacterial small subunit ribosomal RNA", at positions 29 to 507 of the family's 1533-position model. The record is from RNAcentral.